GGAGGUAGAGCACUGUUUGGGUGAGGGGUCCAUCUCGGAUUACCAAUCUCAGAUAAACUCCGAAUGCCAACGAGAUAUAAUCGGCAGUCAGACUGCGAGUGCUAAGAUCCGUAGUCGAAAGGGAAACAGCCCAGACCACCAGCUAAGGUCCCAAAAUAUAUGUUAAGUGGAAAAGGAUGUGGGGUUGCACAGACAACUAGGAUGUUAGCUUAGAAGCAGCUAUUCAUUCAAAGAGUGCGUAAUAGCUCACUAGUCGAGUGACCCUGCGCCGAAAAUGUACCGGGGCUAAAACAUAUUACCGAAGCUGUGGAUGACACGUUAGUGUCAUGGUAGGAGAGCGUUCUAUGUGUGAAGAAGGUGUACCGUGAGGAGCGCUGGAACGCAUAGAAGUGAGAAUGCCGGUAUGAGUAGCGAAAGACAGGUGAGAAUCCUGUCCACCGUAAGACUAAGGUUUCCAGGGGAAGGCUCGUCCGCCCUGGGUUAGUCGGGACCUAAGGAGAGACCGAAAGGUGUAUCCGAUGGCCAACAGGUUGAUAUUCCUGUACUAGAGUAUAAAGUGAUGGAGGGACGCAGUAGGCUAACUAAAGCAGGCGAUUGGAAGAGCCUGUCUAAUCAGUGAGGUGUAAGAUGAGUCAAA
This 637-nucleotide ribosomal RNA is filed under the name Streptococcus dysgalactiae subsp. equisimilis. RNAcentral describes it as "bacterial LSU rRNA". It matches the Rfam family "Bacterial large subunit ribosomal RNA", at positions 898 to 1540 of the family's 2925-position model. The record is from RNAcentral. Lineage: Bacteria; Bacillati; Bacillota; Bacilli; Lactobacillales; Streptococcaceae.